Molecule: ribosomal RNA, 320 nt
Filed under: uncultured Prevotella sp.
Lineage: Bacteria; Pseudomonadati; Bacteroidota; Bacteroidia; Bacteroidales; Prevotellaceae
Description: bacterial SSU rRNA
Rfam family: Bacterial small subunit ribosomal RNA
Source: RNAcentral
GAUGAACGCUAGCUACAGGCUUAACACAUGCAAGUCGAGGGGCAGCGAGAGGAAAGCUUGCUUUCCUUGUCGGCGACCGGCGCACGGGUGAGUAACGCGUAUCCAACCUUCCCCAUAGUAGGGCAUAGCCCGUAGAAAUGCGGAUUAAUACCCUAUGUAUUCCGAGGAUGACAUCUGAUUCGGAACAAAGGUUCACCGCUAUGGGAUGGGGAUGCGUCUGAUUAGGUAGUCGGCGGGGUAACGGCCCACCGAGCCAUCGAUCAGUAGGGGUUCUGAGAGGAAGGUCCCCCACAUUGGAACUGAGACACGGUCCAAACUCC